GCUCCGUAAAACUUUUAUUUAUGUUUAUAUCCCUGUCGAGCUCUGGAGGUCAACACGUUGACAGUCCUUCCCCAGUGAGCCGGCCCCGGCGUCAGCUCGGCGACCUUUCUCGAGGUGACUGUUAGGGUUCGGGAGAAAGAGGGUCGUCGUCGUCGGCGGAGCCGGUGACACAGGUUUUUUGAGUAUCUGAGGAUCUUUGGGGGUUGGAGAAGUACUACAUAUGGCAAGCUGUAACGCGGGUUUCUGAUCUUCUCAGGAUCUCGCGACGAGCGGAAUGGAGCAGUCGAGGAGGAAGUCAACCCCUGCGGCUGACGCAGCGGCUGGUGGGUCUGGUCUUCUCCGCCCCGCCGCCGAACGGGCAGGCCGUGCCAAUCGGCGGCACCAUGCAGUUGUACUGGAGGC
Molecule: long non-coding RNA, 402 nt
Filed under: Spirodela polyrhiza (greater duckweed)
Lineage: Eukaryota; Viridiplantae; Streptophyta; Magnoliopsida; Alismatales; Araceae
Description: long non-coding RNA (SPOL_LNC001837)
Source: RNAcentral